UACAGAGGGGGCAAGCGUUGUUCGGAAUUACUGGGCGUAAAGAGCGCGCAGGCGGCUGGUCAAGUCCGAUGUGAAAUCUCCCGGCUCAACUGGGAAACUGCAUCGGAAACUGAUCGGCUUGAAGAUGGGAGAGGGUAGUGGAAUUCCCGGUGUAGUGGUGAAAUGCGUAGAUAUCGGGAGGAACACCAGUGGCGAAGGCGACUACCUGGCCCAUUCUUGACGCUGAGGCGCGAAAGCUAGGGGAGCGAACGGG
RNAcentral lists this ribosomal RNA (253 nucleotides) under uncultured bacterium. RNAcentral describes it as "partial 16S ribosomal RNA". It matches the Rfam family "Bacterial small subunit ribosomal RNA", at positions 524 to 776 of the family's 1533-position model. The record is from RNAcentral.